RNAcentral lists this ribosomal RNA (405 nucleotides) under uncultured bacterium. Its description in RNAcentral is "partial 16S ribosomal RNA". It matches the Rfam family "Bacterial small subunit ribosomal RNA", at positions 28 to 526 of the family's 1533-position model. The record is from RNAcentral.
GACGAACGCUGGCGGCGUGCUUAACACAUGCAAGUCGAGCGGAGCGGCGAACGGGUGAGUAACGCGUGAGUAACUGCCCCCCUCUCUGGGAUAACAGUUGGAAACGGCUGCUCAUACCGGAUAGUGGGGGAUGACUCGCGGCCUAUCAGCUUGUUGGUGGGGUAGUGGCCUACCAAGGCGACGACGGGUCGCCGGCCUGGGAGGGCGACCGGCCACAUGGGGCUCGGAAACGGCCAAAACUCCUACUGGCGGCAUGGGUGGAGAAUAGUGCACAAUGGUGGAAACCCUGAUGCACGGACGCCGCGUGCGGGAGGACGGCCUUCGGGUUGUAAACCGCUUUCAGCCAUGACGCGGUAGUGGCAGAAGAAGCACCGGCUAACUACGUGCCAGCAGCCGCGGUAAUUC